This 57-nucleotide ribosomal RNA is filed under the name uncultured bacterium. RNAcentral's name for it is "partial 16S ribosomal RNA". The record is from RNAcentral.
UUGUACUACGAAGUCCGUAAGUCAAACAGGCCCAAGGUGUGAUUCAUGAUUGGGGUG